This 69-nucleotide transfer RNA is filed under the name Strix varia varia. RNAcentral describes it as "tRNA-Gly". It matches the Rfam family "tRNA". From Rfam's summary of the family: Transfer RNA (tRNA) molecules are approximately 80 nucleotides in length. Their secondary structure includes four short double-helical elements and three loops (D, anti-codon, and T loops). The record is from RNAcentral. Lineage: Eukaryota; Metazoa; Chordata; Aves; Strigiformes; Strigidae. RNAcentral also lists the same sequence under 1 other name.
GCUCUUCUAGUAUACUAAUUACAAUUGACUUCCAAUCUCUAAAAUCUGGAUCAAGCCCAGAGAAGAGCA